GACGAACGCUGGCGGCGUGCUUAACACAUGCAAGUCGAACGUGAUUUUUGUGGAAAUUCUUUCGGGAAUGGAAAUGAAAUGAAAGUGGCGAACGGGUGAGUAACACGUGAGCAACCUACCUUACACAGGGGGAUAGCCGUUGGAAACGACGAUUAAUACCGCAUGAGACCACAGAAUCGCAUGAUAUAGGGGUCAAAGAUUUAUCGGUGUAAGAAGGGCUCGCGUCUGAUUAGCUAGUUGGAAGGGUAAAGGCCUACCAAGGCGACGAUCAGUAGCCGGUCUGAGAGGAUGAACGGCCACUUUGGAACUGAGACACGGUCCAAACUCCUACGGGAGGCAGCAUGGGGGAAUAUUGCACUGUGGGGGGAACCCUGAUGCAGCGACACCUGGUGAGCGAAGAAGGUUUCGAAUCUGAAAUUUCUGUCCUGUGAGAAGAUAAUGGCGGUUUCAUAGGAUUAAUCCCCGGCUAAUACGUGCCCGCGUGGUGCGGUGUUACUUAUGUGGCGAUCGUUUCCGGAUUAUUGGUGCGUGUGGUGUACGUUGGCGGUUUUUUGAUUCUGGUGUGUGUGUGUGUGAGGGUUGAUCUGUGAUGCUGUGGAUACUGUAGUGUGUGUGUGUGUGAGAUGGUGGGUUGAUCGAUGGUGGGCUGCUGUUUUUGUAGUGUUUUUUGGUUGUAGUGUGUGUGGUGUGUUGCUGUGUGUGUGUUGUUUGUGUGGUGUGUGUUGUAAAUGUUGUUCUGUAUGUUGUUGUGUGGUGCCUUUAUAUGUAUUGUUCGUGAAU
This 780-nucleotide ribosomal RNA is filed under the name uncultured Eubacteriales bacterium. RNAcentral describes it as "bacterial SSU rRNA". The stretch from base 4 to 512 matches the Rfam family "Bacterial small subunit ribosomal RNA", at positions 31 to 542 of the family's 1533-position model. The record is from RNAcentral. Lineage: Bacteria; Bacillati; Bacillota; Clostridia; Eubacteriales.